UAUAGUCAGGUGUAUAGUGCAUGUUUCAUUUUGGUUGAAUAGGUGAUUUAGAUUUCGGCUAUAU
Molecule: transfer RNA, 64 nt
Filed under: Cotylurus marcogliesei
Lineage: Eukaryota; Metazoa; Platyhelminthes; Trematoda; Diplostomida; Strigeidae
Description: tRNA-Gln
Source: RNAcentral